AACGAACGCUGGCGGCGCGCCUAAUACAUGCAAGUCGAGCGAGAAGGUGUAGCAAUACACUUGUAAAGCGGCGAACGGGUGAGGAAUGCAUGGGUAACCUACCCUCGAGUGGGGAAUAACUAGCCGAAAGGUUAGCUGAUACCGCAUACGUUUCCGGAACUUCGGUUUCGGAAAGAAAGCAAUACCGUGGGUAUUGCGCUCCUGGAUGGGCUCAUGUCCUAUCAGCUUGUUGGUGAGGUAACGGCUCACCAAGGCUUCGACGGGUAGCUGGUCUGAGAGGACGAUCAGCCACACUGGCACUGCGACACGGGCCAGACUCCUACGGAGGCAGCAGUAAGGAUAUUGCGCAAUGGACGAAAGUCUGACGCAGCGACG
This 375-nucleotide ribosomal RNA is filed under the name uncultured bacterium. RNAcentral describes it as "bacterial SSU rRNA". It matches the Rfam family "Bacterial small subunit ribosomal RNA", at positions 29 to 396 of the family's 1533-position model. The record is from RNAcentral.